UCUACGGGAUGCAGCAGUGGGGAAUAUUGCACAAUGGGGGGAACCCUGAUGCAGCGACGCCGCGUGAGCGAAGAAGUAUUUCGGUAUGUAAAGCUCUAUCAGCAGGGAAGAAAAUGACGGUACCUGACUAAGAAGCCCCGGCUAACUACGUGCCAGCAGCCGCGGUAAUACGUAGGGGGCAAGCGUUAUCCGGAUUUACUGGGUGUAAAGGUAGCGCAGGCGGCUCGGUAAGUAUGAUGUGAAAUCCCGGGGCUCAACCCCGGGACUGAAUUGGAUACUGUCGUGCUGGAGUAGCGGAGAGGCAAGUGGAAUUCCUAGUGUAGCGGUGAAAUGCGUAGAUAGUAGGAGGAACACCAGUGGCGAAGGCGGCUUGCUGGACGACAACUGACGCUGAGGCUCGAAAGCGUGGGGAGCAAACAGGAUUAGAUACCCUGGUAGUC
RNAcentral lists this ribosomal RNA (440 nucleotides) under uncultured bacterium. RNAcentral describes it as "partial 16S ribosomal RNA". It matches the Rfam family "Bacterial small subunit ribosomal RNA", at positions 338 to 795 of the family's 1533-position model. The record is from RNAcentral.